GAUGAACGCUGGCGGCGUGCCUAAUACAUGCAAGUCGAGCGAACAGACGAGGAGCUUGCUCCUCGGACGUUAGCGGCGGACGGGUGAGUAACACGUGGAUAACCUACCUAUAAGACUGGGAUAACUUCGGGAAACCGGAGCUAAUACCGGAUAAUAUAUUGAACCGCAUGGUUCAAUAGUGAAAGACGGUGUUGCUGUCACUUAUAGAUGGAUCCGCGCCGCAUUAGCUAGUUGGUAAGGUAACGGCUUACCAAGGCAACGAUGCGUAGCCGACCUGAGAGGGUGGUCGGCCACACUGGAACUGAGACACGGUCCAGACUCCUACGGGAGGCAGCAGUAGGGAAUCUUCCGCAAUGGGCGAAAGCCUGACGGAGCAACGCCGCGUGAGGGAUGAAGGUCUUCGGAUCGGAAAACUCUGUUAUUAGGGAAGAACAAAUGUGUAAGUAACUAUGCACGUCUUGACGGUACCUAAUCAGAAAGCCACGGCUAACUACGUG
This 497-nucleotide ribosomal RNA is filed under the name uncultured bacterium. RNAcentral's name for it is "partial 16S ribosomal RNA". It matches the Rfam family "Bacterial small subunit ribosomal RNA", at positions 28 to 507 of the family's 1533-position model. The record is from RNAcentral.